Molecule: ribosomal RNA, 1492 nt
Filed under: metagenome
Description: bacterial SSU rRNA
Rfam family: Bacterial small subunit ribosomal RNA
Source: RNAcentral
AGAGUUUGAUCCUGGCUCAGAUUGAACGCUGGCGGCAUGCCAUACACAUGCAAGUCGAACGGUAACGCGGGGGCAACCCUGGCGACGAGUGGCGAACGGGUGAGUAAUACAUCGGAACAUAUCCAGUAGCGGGGGAUAACCUAUCGAAAGAUGGACUAAUACCGCAUACGAUCUACGGAUGGAAGCAGGGGACCGCAAGGCCUUGCACUAUUGGAGUGGCCGAUGUCGGAUUAGCUAGUUGGUGGGGUAAAAGCCUACCAAGGCGACGAUCCGUAGCUGGUCUGAGAGGACGAUCAGCACACUGGAACUGAGACACGGUCCAGACUCCUACGGGAGGCAGCAGUGGGGAAUUUUGGACAAUGGGCGCAAGCCUGAUCCAGCCAUGCCGCGUGAGUGAAGAAGGCCUUCGGGUUGUAAAGCUCUUUCGGUGAAGACGAAACGGUUCAUGCUAAUAACGUGAACUAAUGACGGUACACACAGAAGAAGCACCGGCUAACUACGUGCCAGCAGCCGCGGUAAUACGUAGGGUGCAGGCGUUAAUCGGAAUUACUGGGCGUAAAGCGUGCGCAGGCGGUUUGCUAAGACAGGUGUGAAAUCCCCGGGCUUAACCUGGGAAUUGCGCUUGUAACUGGCAAGCUAGAGUGUGGCAGAGGGGGGUGGAAUUCCACGUGUAGCAGUGAAAUGCGUAGAUAUGUGGAGGAACACCGAUGGCGAAGGCAGCCCCCUGGGUUAACACUGACGCUCAUGCACGAAAGCGUGGGGAGCAAACAGGAUUAGAUACCCUGGUAGUCCACGCCCUAAACUAUGUCAACUAGUUGUCGGGGAAGAGAUUCCUUGGUAACGAAGCUAACGCGUGAAGUUGACCGCCUGGGGAGUACGGCCGCAAGGUUAAAACUCAAAGGAAUUGACGGGGACCCGCACAAGCGGUGGAUUAUGUGGAUUAAUUCGAUGCAACGCGAAAAACCUUACCUACCCUUGACAUGCUAGGAAGCCCGCAGAGAUGUGGGUGUGCCCGAAAGGGAACCUAGACACAGGUGCUGCAUGGCUGUCGUCAGCUCGUGUCGUGAGAUGUUGGGUUAAGUCCCGCAACGAGCGCAACCCUUGCCAUUAGUUGCUACAUUCAGUUGGGCACUCUAAUGGGACCGCCGGUGACAAACCGGAGGAAGGUGGGGAUGACGUCAAGUCCUCAUGGCCCUUAUGGGUAGGGCUUCACACGUAAUACAAUGGUCGGUACAGAGGGCUGCCAACCCGCAAGGGGGAGCUAAUCCCAGAAAGCCGAUCGUAGUCCGGAUUGUAGUCUGCAACUCGACUGCAUGAAGCCGGAAUCGCUAGUAAUCGCGGAUCAGCAUGUCGCGGUGAAUACGUUCCCGGGUCUUGUACACACCGCCCGUCACACCAUGGGAGUGGGUUCCACCAGAAGUAGUUAGCCUAACCGCAAGGAGGGCGAUUACCACGGUGAGAUUCAUGACUGGGGUGAAGUCGUAACAAGGUA